GCCCCUGUAGCCCAAUCGGCAGAGGCGAUGGACUCAAAAUCCAUACAGUGUGGGUUCGAAUCCCACCGGGGGCA
RNAcentral lists this transfer RNA (74 nucleotides) under Pseudonocardia sp. HH130630-07. It matches the Rfam family "tRNA". Rfam says of the family: Transfer RNA (tRNA) molecules are approximately 80 nucleotides in length. The record is from Rfam by way of RNAcentral. Lineage: Bacteria; Bacillati; Actinomycetota; Actinomycetes; Pseudonocardiales; Pseudonocardiaceae.